CGUCCCCGCUCGCCGCAGGUGGGUCGCGGCCACGGCGCUCUGCUCCGUCAUCCUCCUCGUCGUCACCUGCAACGCGGCCGGGAUGGCGCUGGGCACCUACGGGCUCUGCAAGCGCGACGACCCCGGCGACUACGAGUGCCACGGCGAGGCCGGCGCCAGGCUGCUCAUGCUGUAGGUACCGCGGCGGGUGCUGAGCGGCCCCGGUGAUUUUGCAACACUCGGAUGCUGCUCGUCUCCCCGCUGCAACGGGGCUUUUCCCGAACCGGGACGGGGCGAAGGGCGAGCUCUUUGCAGCGGGAGGCGAGCGGAGCGGCGCGGCCGUGCCGGGCGUCGCGGGCCGCCGCCUGCGCCGGCGGGCUCGGCCGGAGCGGCUCCUCCCCGGGAACGCCGCCGGCCCUUCCCACGCGGCGCGGCCGGGCCGGGCUCCGCAGCAGGCCCCGGCAAGCCCGCCCGCAAGCGGCCCACGGCGCCGGCUCUGCCCCUUUUCCAGCGGCGUCGGCCUCAGCUUCCUCUUCUCCGGGCUCCUGAGCCUGCUGGUUUUUGCCACCUUCCUGGUUGGCGGCAACGUCCAGACGCUGGUCUGCAGGAACUGGGCCAACCAGGAGAUCUAUAAGGUGGGCGGCUUUUUGGGGGGGACGCCUCCCAAAGUGCAUGGUUAUCCCGGGAAAGCCGGGAGAGCCCCGGCCGUGGCCCCGGCUCGGUGGGGGACCGGCACCGUGCAGCCUCCAGGAUGCUCGGAGCAGCUCGGGGUGCUGCGAGGAGGCUGGGAAAAAGGGGGAUGAAGGCUCCUCGGGCACCUCAUCCUCUCCUGCAUCCCGCACAGUUCAUCGACACUCCCGGGAACCUGCCGCCCUCCAUGAACCUCAGCCGGCGGCUCAACCUGCGCAGCAGCUACAACCUCAGCGCCGCCUACCAGUGAGCGCCGUGUCCCCCCGCGCCCCGGCAUCUCCCCGGGCUGCCGCCGGCGGAUCCGCCCCGGCUCCCGCCAGCCCCUUUUCCGGGCUCGCCCGGCUGCAUCCGAGCCACGGCGGGAAGGCGGCCGGCAACAGCGGUGGCUGCAACCGCCCUUUGCCUCGGCAGCGAGUGCAAGCGCGGCGCGGGGCUCUGGGAAGUGCUGCAGCUCGACGAGUCCUACGACCUGGACGAGCACCUCAAAGCCUCCAAGGUGAGGGCUGCUCCGGUGGCGGGGCUGUGCCGGCGGCGCCUCCCGCCUCACCCGGCCCCCCCCGGUGCCGCCGCAGUACGCCGCCGGCUUCCAGAAGCGCCUGGACGACUUCAGCACCCGCCUGGGCGACGUGCGGCUCCUGCGCGACGAGGGCAGGAGGGACCUGGAGGCUUUCGCCCGCGCCGGCGCCGACCGCGUGGACUACGGGCGCUUCCAAGCCGAGGUCGGAGCACGCCGCCGCCAUCCCUCCCAUCCGUCCCCGGCGGGGGGGAGGGGGGUGUUUCCCGCUGACGUGCAUCUUCCCGCAGAUGCAAAACCCCGUGGUGAAGACGAGCCUGGCCGGGCUCGCCCGGAGCCUGGAGGGGCUGCAGAAGUUGCAGGUGAGCGCGGCGGCGGCGGUGGGCACCCCGGGCACCCCGGACACCCCGCUGACGCCGUCCCCGCCGCCCCCCGCAGAGGAACGGCACGGUGGCGGGGCGCCUGGCCGCCGAGGCCCGGGCGCUGUGGCGGAUGCACAACUCCACGGUGCGGGCGCAGGAGGCCUUGGUGGUGAGUCCGCGCCGGGCGGGCGGGUUGGGGGCUUUCGCGGCGCCCCCGGCCCCGGCGCGGGGCUCAGCCCUCUCCGUCUCGCAGGCGAAGCUGGCCGAAAGCGUCCGCUUCCUCUCCGCGUUGGCGCCUCACCUCCAGGUACGUGCAUGGCGGAACGGUUUUUUUUUCCCAGCGUUUUCCAACGUGCAUGGUCCCCUCGGCCCGUCCCCUCCAAAAAUCAAGUUAUCCGGGUGCCAGGAAAGCCGCCAUCCCGGGCGGAUUGGCUCCUUGUAUUCCCCGCUGCAUAUCAGACCCCCCCCCCGCAACCACCCCUGCACCCAGACNNNNN
Long non-coding RNA from Apteryx haastii (Great spotted kiwi), 2042 nucleotides. The record is from Ensembl. NCBI's taxonomy places the organism in Eukaryota, Metazoa, Chordata, Aves, Apterygiformes, Apterygidae.